Molecule: ribosomal RNA, 1324 nt
Filed under: metagenome
Description: bacterial LSU rRNA
Rfam family: Bacterial large subunit ribosomal RNA
Source: RNAcentral
AGUGGAUGGGGAGCAACCUAGUUGUGCGUGUGUAAAGGUAGUGCCAAGAAAAGCGGUGAUCAUGAUGAAAAUCAAUUCCCGGUACCCGAAACCGACACAGGUGGGCAAGUAGAGAAUACUAAGGGGCGCGAGGUAACUCUCUCCAAGGAACUCGGCAAAAUGACCCCGUAACUUAGGGAGAAGGGGUGCCACCGAGAGGUGGUCGCAGUGAAGAGGCCCAGGCGACUGUUUAGCAAAAACAUAGGUCUCUGCAAACUCGAAAGAGGAGGUAUAGGGGCUGACGCCUGCCCAGUGCCGGAAGGUUAAAGAAGUUGGUCAGUCUUAGGAUAAAGCUAGCGACUGAAGCCCCGGUGAACGGCGGCCGUAACUAUAACGGUCCUAAGGUAGCGAAAUUCCUUGUCGGGUAAGUUCCGACCCGCACGAAAGGCGUAACGAUCUGGGCGCGGUCUCGGAGAGAGGCUCGGCGAAAUAGGAUUGUCUGUGAAGAUACGGACUACCUGCAUUUGGACAGAAAGACCCUAUGAAGCUUUACUAUAGCUUGGAAUUGUGUUCGGGCUUCCUGUGCGCAGGAUAGGUGGGAGGCGAAGAAGGUAUUCUUGUGGGGAUACUGGAGCCAACGGUGAGAUACCACUCUCAGGAGGCUAGAAUUCUAACUUAAUUAAGGACAGUUUCAGGUGGGUAGUUUGACUGGGGCGGUCGCCUCCAAAAAGGUAACGGAGGCGUACAAAGGUUCCCUCAGACUGGUUGGAAAUCAGUCGCAGAGUGCAAAGGCAGAAGGGAGCUUGACUGCGAGAAGUACAGUUCGAGCAGGGUGGAAACACGGUCUUAGUGAUCCGACGGUGCUGUGUGGAAGGGCCGUCGCUCAACGGAUAAAAGUUACUCUAGGAUAACAGGCUGAUCUCCCCCAAGAGUUCACAUCGACGGGGAGGUUUGGCACCUCGAUGUCGGCUCAUCGCAACCUGGGGCAGAAGUACGUCCCAAGGGUUGGGCUGUUCGCCCAUUAAAGCGGUACGUGAGCUGGGUUCAGAACGUCGUGAGACAGUUCGGUCCAUAUCCGAUGUAGGCGUGAGAAUAUUGAGAGGAGCCUUCCUUAGUACGAGAGGACCGGGAAGGACGCACCGCUGGUGUACCUGUUAUGAUGCCAAUUGUAAACGCAGGGUAGCCAAGUGCGGAGAGGAUAACCGCUGAAAGCAUCUAAGUGGGAAGCCCACCUCAAGAUGAGUAUUCUGGUGUAAGGUCACGGGAAGACGACCCGUAAAUAGGCAUGAGGUGGAAGUGCAGAGAUGUAUGAAGCCGAAGUGUACUAAUAGACCGUCGGCUUGAC